RNAcentral lists this long non-coding RNA (1257 nucleotides) under Betta splendens (Siamese fighting fish). RNAcentral's name for it is "lncRNA (ENSBSLG00000009025.1)". The record is from RNAcentral. Lineage: Eukaryota; Metazoa; Chordata; Actinopteri; Anabantiformes; Osphronemidae.
AUGAAAUUGUCCUGCUGGGUAUGCGUUCUGAUAUUUUUUUAUUUCAGUCCUAGGCCAGCCAAAACAAUCAAGCCAUCUUUCAACUGUAGUUUUUUACCACACAAUGGAGAUCCCAAUGAGGUACUCAUUCCUACAAUAGAAAAACCUAAUAUCCAUAAAGAAGAGUCCACUUUGGCUUGUCAGACAUAUUCAUCCUGCCUCGAAGUAAGUCCUGACACCAAUAAUGGCACAUCAGCUGCACAGAAGGGCAAAGAGUGGUGGAAUAACCCAAUAAAUGAAGCAGAAUACAGUGGAGCUUUAGACAGUCAAUUAAAGCUGUCUCUGUCUGACCACAACCCCAGUGAGAGGGUAGAAAAUGGAGGCCUAAGUAACCAAACAAAGUCUAAAAUAUUCAGAAAGACACAUUUGAGUUCCUGUGACCUUCUACCAAGACUGGUUACAGGCGUUGAUGCUAAUCCAAUCAGGUCAGGAAGACCUCUAGAAGGGAGGAGUGUGACAGAGCUCAAAGUAAAUUCUGAAAGUGUGACAGGCCACAUGUCAUGCACUGAACGUGAGAUGGAGCCCCCAAAAAAUGGAACUGUGAAGGUGGAGAUGGACAGGAUGUUGCAUGCUGAGAAAAGACCAGCCAUUGAAAUGAAAGGACCUUUAUACCUGGGACUGACUGAGAACAAUAAUUUAAAGAGCAUCUCGUAUUUGGUAACCCCACGUAACAGGGAUAAAAACAGUGACUGUAUAAAUGGGGAAACAGAAAUAAAUGAAUGCAUUGUCAGUGCACGUGGAGCUGAACAUCCAUCAGGCAGUGACAAUAACGUAGCUUUAGCAGGACACAAUUCGAAGAUUUUACCAUCAGUAAUAAGUGGUGAACACAAGGAUCAAAUAGGAGCAUUGGUACAGUGUGAGCCGACCGCAGUUGACCUGCUUGACCCUAAUAACGCAGAGGACAGAGUUGAUGUGAGAGAGAUGAGGGCAAAGGCAGAUAUUGAUAUAGGCACUAAUGAUGUAAUGGAGGCAGAACAAUCACAAUGCUCUGCUGUGAAAGCAACAGAGAAACAAGAUGAUUAUAAAAAGGCCAGUGACUUGCAUGUAGGAAAGAAAGUACAGAGAGAGACUGGAAACAAUGGAGAUGAGCCAGUUAUUUUAGCUGAUAAUGAAAAUCAAAGUGCAACUACAGGUAAGUGUAAGUUGCUUGUUGCCAUGUUUAUUGUGAUUCUACAAAGCAUACAAAUAAUGCUGUUUCAAUAUUCACCACUAGAGUGA